This 498-nucleotide ribosomal RNA is filed under the name uncultured bacterium. RNAcentral describes it as "partial 16S ribosomal RNA". It matches the Rfam family "Bacterial small subunit ribosomal RNA", at positions 30 to 523 of the family's 1533-position model. The record is from RNAcentral.
AUUGAACGCUGGCGGCAUGCCUUACACAUGCAAGUCGAACGGUAACAGGUCUUCGGAUGCUGACGAGUGGCGAACGGGUGAGUAAUACAUCGGAACGUGCCUAGUAGUGGGGGAUAACUACUCGAAAGAGUGGCUAAUACCGCAUGAGAUCUACGGAUGAAAGCAGGGGAUCGCAAGACCUUGCGCUACUAGAGCGGCCGAUGGCAGAUUAGGUAGUUGGUGGGAUAAAAGCUUGCCAAGCCGACGAUCUGUAGCUGGUCUGAGAGGACGAUCAGCCACACUGGGACUGAGACACGGCCCAGACUCCUACGGGAGGCAGCAGUGGGGAAUUUUGGACAAUGGGCGAAAGCCUGAUCCAGCAAUGCCGCGUGCAGGAUGAAGGCCUUCGGGUUGUAAACUGCUUUUGUACGGAACGAAAAGCCCUGGGUUAAUACCCUGGGGUCAUGACGGUACCGUAAGAAUAAGCACCGGCUAACUACGAGCCAGCCGCCGCGGUAA